UGGGGAAUAUUGGACAAUGGGCGCAAGCCUGAUCCAGCCAUGCCGCGUGAGUGAUGAAGGCCUUAGGGUUGUAAAGCUCUUUUACCAGGGAAGAUAAUGACGGUACCUGGAGAAUAAGCCCCGGCUAACUUCGUGCCAGCAGCCGCGGUAAUACGAAGGGGGCUAGCGUUGCUCGGAAUCACUGGGCGUAAAGCGCACGUAGGUGGGUCGUUAAGUCGGGGGUGAAAUCCUGGAGCUCAACUCCAGAACUGCCUUCGAUACUGGCGAUCUUGGAGUCCGGGAGAGGUGAGUGGAACUGCGAGUGUAGAGGUGAAAUUCGUAGAUAUUCGCAAGAACACCAGUGGCGAAGGCGGCUCACUGGCCCGGUACUGACACUGAGGUGCGAAAGCGUGGGGAGCAAACA
RNAcentral lists this ribosomal RNA (403 nucleotides) under uncultured bacterium. RNAcentral's name for it is "bacterial SSU rRNA". It matches the Rfam family "Bacterial small subunit ribosomal RNA", at positions 355 to 774 of the family's 1533-position model. The record is from RNAcentral.